AUACGGAGGAUCCGAGCGUUAUCCGGAUUUAUUGGGUUUAAAGGGUGCGCAGGCGGUCAUUUGAGUCAGCGGUUAAAUCGUGGGGCUCAACCCCAUUCUGCCGUUGAUACUGGGUGGCUUGAUUGCGGUCGAGGUUGGCGGAAUUCGUUGUGUAGCGGUGAAAUGCAUAGAUAUGACGAAGAACACCGAUUGCGUAGGCAGCUGACCAGACCGCAAAUGACGCUCAUGCACGAAAGUGCGGGGAUCGAACAGGAUUAGAUACCCUGGUAGUCCGCACAGUAAACGAUGAAUACUUGUUUUCGGCGAUAUAAUGUCGGAGGCAAAGCGAAAGCGAUAAGUAUUCCACCUGGGGAGUACGCCGGCAACGGUGAAACUCAAAGGAAUUGACGGGG
This 392-nucleotide ribosomal RNA is filed under the name uncultured bacterium. Its description in RNAcentral is "partial 16S ribosomal RNA". It matches the Rfam family "Bacterial small subunit ribosomal RNA", at positions 523 to 918 of the family's 1533-position model. The record is from RNAcentral.